AGGUAAACUUCAGAAGUCAAAUUUUAGAGGAGUCUCCAUCUACCCUCACAUUUUUCACCUACAAUUUUGCAGGUACAGCAAAACCAGAUGCUCUGCUUUAUACCUUGAGACUUAAAUACUACAGCAAAGAUCAGUUUCAAAAAGGAGAAUCAAUGAAAAGGCAGUUUACUGGAUAUUGUCACAUACACUACAAUGGGUGCUCCUCGUAAUGGGAUAUAUUCUGUUGUUGAGAUCCUGGGGACAGGCAUAGCCAGGAAAUCAUCCCACUGGAGCUGCACUGUCAGAGAGCCUAGAGGCUGUGAGCUGUCAGAGGCCAGAGCUAGCAGAGAGGACCAGGAUCUCAGUGUGGAUGACCCUGCUCUCUCAUGGAUAUCAGAGGAUCAACAAGCCCAUUAACUAAAAGGAUGUCUUAAAGAAGUUGAAGAAUGUCAUAUGAUGGGAAAUGGGAAACUGGAUGUCUCCAAGGACUUUGAAAUAAGAUAAAAACAUUUCACAUCUACGCCAUUUGUUCAAAUCCAGCCAAGAUGGCGAUGACCAAAAGUUGACAGAACUGGAAAGCUGUUCAGUGGCCAAUAAGUAGUUUCACUAGUUGCAGUUUCUUGUGUGUGGAUAUUCAAUUCACAGAACUACCAUUACACAUUUGAUAAGUCUCAGUAAAGAAGCCAAUGGCUAAAUGAACCUGGAACACAUCAUUUCAAAGACAGUACCUCCAGACCUUUCCUGAGCAUUUAAUUUUAUUAUUAAAAUAAAUCAUACCACCUUAAAAUUGUUAAAACCUCAAAUGGGGCAUGGUAUAUAUACUAUCCAACCUCACUGGUACUUCAAAUACCUCACUUGAUAUUACAUAAAAAUAUUAUAAUUACAUUCAUUUCAGAACAAUUUAUAUUUACAUUCUGCAUAUCUAUAUUGUGUCCAUGGUAACUCUGCAGGGUUGUGGAGUCAAACAGGAAAUGGUUAAGUGGCUAAAGAGUAGAUGCAGCUGGACCUCAUGCACCUACCUGGCACAGCUGUUAUUUAUAAACAAAGGAAAACACAAGACAUGUUCAGAUUAGAAGGAAAGAACUAAAUGCUGUGUUUUUAAGAUAGCUAUUUUCCCCAAAGAAGAGGAUGUUAUUUUUGGGAGUUGCUUUAUGUCUUACAAAGGUAAGGCUGUUUAUUUGGACUUUGAUUAUACCCUGGAAAAGAGAGAAUUUAAGAGUUUAUUUAUUUUAUAAUUUUGUAUUACCAGAAAGGGAAUGCCUAGCCCAUGAUAAAAGCAAAUAAGAAUGUCUGAAGUUUAAUUACAACAUACUAAUAGCUUUUAAAUGUUCACUGUCAACUUGAAGUCUACCUAAUUUUUUUAAAAAGUUAGCCACUUUCAGGUACUACAUCUGGCCUACCUCCUCUACCAUGAUGUGUGAUUUUUAUGCUCACAUUUUACUACUUCUGUAAAUGUGUAUUUUCUCUUCCCUGCUGCGAUGUGAAAAACCACACACAAGCACAAGUAACUGGCUACAAUACAGUAAAUAUUGUCAACUGUACAAAUAAAGAA
Long non-coding RNA from Mauremys reevesii (Reeves's turtle), 1531 nucleotides. RefSeq lists it as uncharacterized. The record is from RefSeq and is a predicted model, not a curated record. The transcript has 6 exons. Lineage: Eukaryota; Metazoa; Chordata; Testudines; Geoemydidae.